This 506-nucleotide ribosomal RNA is filed under the name uncultured bacterium. Its description in RNAcentral is "partial 16S ribosomal RNA". It matches the Rfam family "Bacterial small subunit ribosomal RNA", at positions 29 to 523 of the family's 1533-position model. The record is from RNAcentral.
AGUGAACGCUGGCGGUAGGCCUAACACAUGCAAGUCGAACGGCAGCACAGAGGAGCUUGCUCCUUGGGUGGCGAGUGGCGGACGGGUGAGGAAUACAUCGGAAUCUACUCUGUCGUGGGGGAUAACGUAGGGAAACUUACGCUAAUACCGCAUACGACCUACGGGUGAAAGCAGGGGAUCUUCGGACCUUGCGCGAUUGAAUGAGCCGAUGUCGGAUUAGCGAGUUGGCGGGGUAAAGGCCCACCAAGGCGACGAUCCGUAGAUGGUCUGAGAGGAUGAUCAGCCACACUGGAACUGAGACACGGUCCAGACUCCUACGGGAGGCAGCAGUGGGGAAUAUUGGACAAUGGGCGCAAGCCUGAUCCAGCCAUACCGCGUGGGUGAAGAAGGCCUUCGGGUUGUAAAGCCCUUUUGUUGGGAAAGAAAUCCAUCUGGUUAAUACCCGGGUGGGAUGACGGUACCCAAAGAAUAAGCACCGGCUAACUUCGUGCCAGCCGCCGCAGUAA